UGCAAGUCGAACGGAGAAUUUUAUUUCGGUAGAAUUCUUAGUGGCGAACGGGUGAGUAACGCGUAGGCAACCUACCCUUUAGACGGGGACAACAUUCCGAAAGGAGUGCUAAUACCGGAUGUGAUCAUCUUGCCGCAUGGCAGGAUGAAGAAAGAUGGCCUCUACAAGUAAGCUAUCGCUAAAGGAUGGGCCUGCGUCUGAUUAGCUAGUUGGUAGUGUAACGGACUACCAAGGCGAUGAUCAGUAGCCGGUCUGAGAGGAUGAACGGCCACAUUGGGACUGAGACACGGCCCAAACUCCUACGGGAGGCAGCAGUGGGGAAUCUUCCGCAAUGGACGAAAGUCUGACGGAGCAACGCCGCGUGAGUGAUGAAGGAUUUCGGUCUGUAAAGCUCUGUUGUUUAUGACGAACGUGCAGUGUGUGAACAAUGCAUUGCAAUGACGGUAGUAAACGAGGAAGCCACGGCUAACUACGUGCCAGCAGCCGCGGUAAUACGUAGGUGGCGAGCGUUGUCCGGAAUUAUUGGGCGUAAAGAGCAUGUAGGCGGCUUAAUAAGUCGAGCGUGAAAAUGCGGGGCUCAACCCCGUAUGGCGCUGGAAACUGUUAGGCUUGAGUGCAGGAGAGGAAAGGGGAAUUCCCAGUGUAGCGGUGAAAUGCGUAGAUAUUGGGAGGAACACCAGUGGCGAAGGCGCCUUUCUGGACUGUGUCUGACGCUGAGAUGCGAAAGCCAGGGUAGCGAACGGGAUUAGAUACCCCGGUAGUCCUGGCCGUAAACGAUGGGUACUAGGUGUAGGAGGUAUCGACCCCUUCUGUGCCGGAGUUAACGCAAUAAGUACCCCGCCUGGGGAGUACGGCCGCAAGG
Molecule: ribosomal RNA, 862 nt
Filed under: uncultured bacterium
Lineage: Bacteria
Description: bacterial SSU rRNA
Rfam family: Bacterial small subunit ribosomal RNA
Source: RNAcentral